Cylas formicarius (sweet potato weevil) is the source of this 2411-nucleotide long non-coding RNA. RefSeq lists it as uncharacterized. The transcript has 3 exons. NCBI's taxonomy places the organism in Eukaryota, Metazoa, Arthropoda, Insecta, Coleoptera, Brentidae. The record is from RefSeq and is a predicted model, not a curated record.
UGCCCGCUCAAUAACUCUCCUAAAUUGAAUGUGCAGAUGAAAUCUGCCAUCAACAAAGGUGGAAAGAAAAGGGAUGAGAGACUGACUGCAACAAGGGGUGCUUUGAUGGUGUUUGGUAGGGCGCUCUUGACCUUGCUUUUGAAACCGGUUAAGGAUGAGUAGUACUUACUUCUCAUCAAAAUGUUGAGUAAUGCAAUAUUUGUUUUAAGCAAAAUACACCAUUUAGGUUCAGUAUAUAGAAGUUCAGCCGCGUUAAGCCUUUCGCUGGUCUCAAAUGAAAUGCAGCCUUGUAUGAAGGAAGUGCUCGUUGAUGCUUCUUUGCACUCUUGUUUAUGUGGAGAAGAUUUGGCUGAUAGGCUCAAAUCAAUCAGAUUAGCUGCAGAUUAGUGGCCGAGUUAAAGUCAGGUGCAUCCGGAACAAGGCUUUUAUAGCAUACAAAUUUAAACUCGACCGUCCCACUUCGUUCCGGGAAGUUGCAAGGCUGAAGUGGGUGAAAGUCAUUGUACCCUCAAAAGAGGGAAUACAGGAAGGUUCGAGAGGAAAGGGGGUGGAGUUGUGUCCCCAGGAAAAAAUAUUUACAGAAUCCUGAAUGCCCUGUAAGGCAGCAAUGUUACAAACUUGAGAUUUUCUCAGAUGGUACUCCUUUGGGUUGGGGAAUUGUGCCAGAGGACUUUGGAGUCCUAGGGAAGCUCAGUUUCAUAUUAAUGCACUAGAAUUAACUGCGGCCUCAUUUGGUCUCUAAUGCUUCGCCUCGUAUUUGACUAACUGCGAGACACUUUUGAGGAUUGAUAACACAACUGCUAUUUUGUAUGUAAAUAGAAUAGGGUGAGUAAAAUUUCCUGUUUUAAACGAAAUUUCGAGGCGCCUUGGGGUUGGUGUGAAGAAAGGAGGUUAUGGGUUAAAGCAUCUUACAUUCGAUCUUCCGAUAAUUUUGAAGCGCAUAAGGAACCCACGAAUUUGAAUUUUGAUGGUGAAUGGUACCUUUCGGACAAUGCUUUUGCUAAAAUAACAAUCAAAUUUGGAUUCCCAUAAAUCGAACUGUUUGCUUCUCGCCUAAGUAAGAAAUGCGGAAAGUUUAUUUCCUAAUUUCCAGAUCCGGAGGCAUCUAAUGAAGACGCGUUUACUGUUUUUUGGAGCGACAGUUUCUUCUAUGUUUUCCUCCCGUUUUGCUUGUUGCCACUUGUUUUACGAAAAAUCAAGGCUGAUUGAGCUACAGGGAUCGCAGUAAUCCCUUACGGGCACAGCCAGCAUUGACAAAUUACCUUCUUCUUUUGACAGGAGAGGUCACCCUUUGUGGAAAUCCCUUACCCUGGCUGCAGGGAUUUUGUCAGGCAAGCAUUCCAGAAGAUUUGCUGGAUAUUUUUCUAUCAUCUGUUCAGAGGGCUACCUUGAGGCAUUUAAUACCUGCAUGCAUUUAAACUUUGGUGGAGCUUCUACGAAAGGAGGGGAGUGGAGUGUUAUUACUUCUCACCUAGGCUGUAUUAGAUUUCCUUACUAUUCAUUUUAGACAAGGCAAGUCCUAUGGCUCAUUGAGUUCUUUCAGUGCAGCACAGCCUUAUUUUUGGAUCAGAUUUAUUUAACAAUGCAAAUCUAACUAGGUUUUUUAAGGUGUUUAUAAUCUAAGGCCAAGUAAACCAAGAUAUAACAGCACUUGGGGCCCUAGUUAUGUCCCUGACUUUGUAAAAGGGUUACGUUCUAAUGACUUGUCAUUAAAGCAAUUAACUGUCAUUAAAACAAUUAAAUUAGUUUUUCCUACUGAAGUUAACGAUGGUACAUAGAGUCCAAACGCUCUCUCUUAUAGAAUUGGUCAACAUAAAAUCAUUUCCAGAUGGAUUAGAAAUUAGAAUAACGAAUCAAAUUAAGAUUUCAGCUAUAAAUAAGACUCGACCUGUUUUUUAAUUUUGCAUAAAUAUGAAGAUGUAAAUCUUUGUGUGGUUUCAAAUAUAUUAUUGAGAGGGCCAGUGCUUUAAGAGGCAGUGAAUCUCGUUUACUCAUUACAUUUAAAAAGCCUUGUAGGGCAGCAACUAUACCCAACAAAAGUAGAUGAAUAAAGAUAACUUUAGAAGAUAGUGUUGUCUACACUUUUAUUUUUACUGUUCACAGAACUCGACAUGCCUCAACAUCGUCUGCGUUUUGUAAAGGUGUUUCAAUUGAUAUGAUUGGAAAAACGGCAGAUUGGUGAGAAUGCUCUAAAUGUUUUCCCCUUUUUUAUAAUGUAUUUGUACAGCAAGUGCAGUCCUUUUUGUUAAUGCCACAUUUGGGACAUAGAAUUUUUCAGAAGGUUUGUUUUCUCGGAUAGCCAUUUAUUUUGUAUUUGUACUCGAGGCUUUCAUAAACUUCCUGGAUUUCCUUAUAUAGCCGAAUAAAAUCGUUUUAUAACAAAUUUGCUGAGUUGCCUUUGAAAGUCUACG